Molecule: long non-coding RNA, 1663 nt
Organism: Parus major (Great Tit)
Lineage: Eukaryota; Metazoa; Chordata; Aves; Passeriformes; Paridae
Source: Ensembl
AAUACAUUAAAUGAAUUAAAUGAAUUAAAUAAAUUAAAUGAAUUAAAUGAAUUAAAUAAAUUAAAUAAAUUAAAUAAAUUAAAUAAAUAAAAUAAAUAAAAUAAAUAAAAUAAAUAAAAUAAAUUAAAGGGAUUAUUAAAGCACACGACCCAAGCCACUGCUCCCUUCGCUCUGAUUUGCCAAAAACAGGCUCAAAAAUAAAAAAAAAAAACCAAAAAGCCCUGAACAGGCACGAUUUUGGGUGAGAGGUUUUGUGCCUGACACAAACCCUUGACAAUUCCUUGCCGAGAUCCCAUCCAGCCCUGCCCUCGGGGUGAGGCUCCGAGGCUUUGGGGCUAAGGAACACCCCUGGAAUUGGGCAGGAUUGCCUUUGGAAUGACACAGAGCUCGCCAGGGAACCCCUCAGGCACUGAGGAUGCUGCAGAGAAGGAGAUUGGCCCCAAACCCUUUGGAAUCCUCUCAGGACGACUUCCAGCAGAGAUGCUCGCUCCCAGAAGAAGCACACGCUUAUUCCAGACUCACAGUGGUCACACUGUUGUGCCCCAGCCAACUUUCUCACGUAAACAGAGCGGUGCAAGAGCGGUUUCUCUUCAGGUUUUGUUAAUUUUAGCCUGAGAAAGUCAUGAAGGAAAUACCUCAGCAGCACGGGCAAGAUGGUGGGAGAUCCCUCCAGCCUGAACGAGGAGCCUCCCUCACUCCAGCUGAGCAUGGAGGAGGCCGGUCCUGGAGCACCUGAGGCAGAAAUUCCUGCCCUGAAGUGACCAGAAAUGGUCCCAGAGCUGCUGCUCGUGUGGCUCGGUGCCUUUUGGGCGAGUGAACCCUUCAGGAGAGGCCGCCUGAGCGAGGCAAAGUCGGGGUUCAGCCCUGGGAAGAUUCCAGGGAAUCGCUGCCCUCCAGCCCAGGCUUGCUGGGAAAAGGGCCAGGCUCAGAUUUAUGGGAUUCUCCUGGGGUUUCCCCUCUGAACUGCAGCACCAAGUGAGGGCUCAGCAAAGCCCUGAAUGUCUCGGUGCAUCCAAUUUGGGAGAGCCCCAAAUCCUGAAUUCAGCUGGAUCCUACUGAUUUCUGACAGAACCCCGCCCAAACUCUGUGGGGUUACUGGAGAACCAGAGCAAAAUCACUGAAACCCCAAAACCUGCUGACACUUAAACAGGUGACCCUCCAAAGUCUGGGAAAGGAAGGAUGGAUGGGCUAAAAGACAAUUUAGGAUCUGGAGGCUGAGGAGCUGCCGAAGCUGAAAACCUCAUUAGCACAAGGAAGGCUUUAAUGAGGUUUCCCCCAAUGCUGAAGAUGCUCCGCUGUGAUUUUGGUCCCAAACGCUCCUGAAAAGCGCCCAGGAUGGUGGCAGUGAGCUGCCAGCAGCCCUUGCUCACAGCAAGUCCGUUUUGGGAAGGUAGGAAAACCUGAUCUCAUGUUUUCCCCUCACUUAUCCCCGCUCAAAAAGUUGCCAAGCGGUUCCCAGAAGGAAGGAAAGUGUCCCCAGACUGCAAUUUUUCCGUCCAACUGGAAACAAACAACAACAAAAAUGGUUACAAAAAUACCAGCGAGCUCCUGGAUGGGUUGGUUCCUGUUCCUCUGCGGGAAGAGGCUGCUCAGAAGGUUUCCACUGUAAACACCCAGGGCUGGCUGUGCCCAUCCCACCCAGCCCUGCGGGGCCCAUUCCCUC